Molecule: long non-coding RNA, 351 nt
Organism: Gasterosteus aculeatus aculeatus (three-spined stickleback)
Lineage: Eukaryota; Metazoa; Chordata; Actinopteri; Perciformes; Gasterosteidae
Source: Ensembl
GGCCGAUAACGCAGAGAGCGGAGACAGUGGGAUCAACGGUGACCUCCAGCUUCACACCCAAUCGUUGGCCCGGCGGGGCUUUGAAGUGGCGAGGAGUUCUGGGAAGAGACGAAAAGACCAAAUCGCCGGAGCUGCUUUCCCGGCCUUGAGUCCUCGCUUAUCGCGAUCGUCGGGUGACGGGAGGUCAGGCUCCCAUCAGCUCGCCGUGCGAUGGAAGAAGUCCGAUGGCGUUGAACAAUGUAUGGCCAAGAGGGGAGUUGGCGCCAAAUCCGAACCGGAUAAUCACCCCAAAAAUCUCUUGGGCGAAAGGUGAGAAAAGCAGCCUCUCAAACUGUUAAUCUCCCACUUAAG